UCGUGCUAGACGGGGAGCUAGCGGUGCCCUAUACCCGCAAUCCGCUAUAGCGGGGUCGAAUUCCUGCCCGCGGUCUGGUCGUUUGAGUAGUACUCCGGUAAGUGGUGUUGAUAGUCGGGCCCUGCGCAAUGUCCGGCGAGUGAACCCCGUCAGGUCCGGAAGGAAGCAGCGGUAAGCUCGUUCGCGCAUGUGCCGCAAGGUGAUCCGGCUGGAGCUGGCUGCCGGGGCCAACGCUCGGGCGGCCUUAUCAAAGGCAGGUGCACGA
Molecule: signal recognition particle RNA, 265 nt
Filed under: Pseudomonadota bacterium
Lineage: Bacteria; Pseudomonadati; Pseudomonadota
Also listed under: 1 other name
Description: signal recognition particle sRNA large type
Rfam family: Bacterial large signal recognition particle RNA
About the family: The signal recognition particle (SRP) is a universally conserved ribonucleoprotein involved in the co-translational targeting of proteins to membranes. Archaeal SRP consists of a 7S RNA and homologues of the eukaryotic SRP19 and SRP54 proteins.
Source: RNAcentral